Molecule: long non-coding RNA, 617 nt
Filed under: Ananas comosus (pineapple)
Lineage: Eukaryota; Viridiplantae; Streptophyta; Magnoliopsida; Poales; Bromeliaceae
Description: long non-coding RNA (ACOM_LNC030655)
Source: RNAcentral
UACACAAUCUCGUCGUUUUAGCCUUGGGCGGACAGUGGAGGUGUUGUCCGUUCGGCGUCCGUUUGCCGCGCCCGAACCGUACCAAAUUGGUAGCGGUCUUGGGGCGGGGACGUGACAAAUCCAUUCACAUGUAGGAAUGUAAAUGGAUAUGGAUAUCCGAAUUUUAUCCGAAUCCAAACCCGAACAGAGCGGAUUUCAUCCGAUGUAAAUGGAUUUGGAUUCGGGUAUGGAUAUUAAAAAACAAAUCUGACGGAUUCGGGUUCGGAUAUGGAUAUUUUUAAAAAACCCGAACCCGAAUAAAUUUAAUACAAUAUAAUAUAUAUAAAAAAAUUUAAACCACUAGAUCCGAAUCUAAAGGCCAAAAAAAUAAUCACACUUUUAUAAUUUAAACCAAAAUACAUAUAUCUUUAUAACCCAAACCCUAAUAUUCAAAAAUCAAAACCUUCCCAUUUCCCAAAAUUAAACCCUAAUAUUCAAAAAUCAAAACCUUCCCAUUUCCCAAACCUUCUCCAUCUCCAAACCUUAAUAGUUAAAACCUCAAAAAAUUAAGAUAACUAUUUUAAAGCCUUCCCAUUUCCCAAACCCUCUCUAUCUCCAAACCCUAAUAAUUGAAACCU